Long non-coding RNA from Megachile rotundata (alfalfa leafcutting bee), 1234 nucleotides. NCBI's taxonomy places the organism in Eukaryota, Metazoa, Arthropoda, Insecta, Hymenoptera, Megachilidae. The record is from RefSeq and is a predicted model, not a curated record.
GUUUGUUCGUCGAAUUCGACGCUUCUGCAGAAAUAUUUUUCUGCUCUGAGACAAAGAGCUUGACACUCGUCCAAAGUAAGGUGUUCUCCAAGUAGUCGGAAUUUGGGUCGUCUUCAAGUAGCUCUGGAUGAGUUCUCCUGGUAAAACGACUUAGAGCACAGCUUCUCAGUGCUGUGUCAUAGGUUGCAGAUCGACAGAUGAAGCUGAACUCGUUUAGACAUCUUUGAAGCAAAGAAGAAAACACAUCAAGUGUAAUUAAUCAUAAACUUUUCAUUUGUGGUUCGAAGCCCAGCUAGUUACGAUAAUCAAGCAGAUAAUGGACAAGUAAUAAUGUAAUGCUUGAAAGUUGGAAACACGGUCCGUUGCUUUUACGGGCGUGUGGUCCUUUGCCCUCGUGUAUGUACUUACACAUAUGUACGCAUACAACUUGCAGAGGAAAAGGUUCAUGGGGGUGCGAGCAUGUGGAGGUGUUCAGGACAAAAUUAACUUAAUGGCAAAGGUGACUAGAUCCUCCAGCGACCAACUGUAGCCCGCAAUUAUGAACGGAAUGUAUCAAUUUGCAAAUGAUCAAUUAUCCCACACGUGCCUGUCUGUUAAAGGUAUUGAAUGCAGUACAACAUGUGCCUCAUAGAAACGCUGCUUAUUAAUUACGUUAUGGUUUAUCGCCUCGAUAAUUGUACAUAGUUGCCUGUUCAAAGGGGAUGGAUGCUUGUUCAGUGAUUAACGUUACGGUCGACGAGAGAAAAUUACAGAUUUGGUCAUUCGAGUACUCGUAAUACUAUAUUCAAACGAUACUGUGAUUACAGAUUAUUGAAUUUCCUUAAUUGUUCUGUUCGCUAUUGAACAAAACUGGUCGAGACUAAACAGUGAAUGUAGGGAAAGGUAACAAUGGUAUGUAACAAAGAUUUAAGCUGUUGUAAGAGGGAGUUUUGAUGGAGGGAUGUUUUGUGGUGGUGACUGUUAUAUGGCUGUGUGUGGUUUGUGGAAUUGGAGAUUUGGGAGUUUUAAAUUUUGUGAUUUGAUUUCGCAGAAGAACCGCCUGCUCCGCAAGUUCUUCCUCAUCAACUCGUAGGACCUCGAUCAGCUUCCUACUAAAACGAUCCCAAGAAAAAACCCACUAGAACCGGCCAUCCAACGCGAAUGGCACCUGUAAUCAAACUGGCGGUCAAAAUCAGCGCAAACAGUGAAAAUAAUGGAUAACACCUGACAAAUAGGUAGGGGAAGAGAUGGCGAU